UAACACGUGGGCAACCUGCCCUCAGCUCUGGGAUAACUCCAAGAAAUUGGUGCUAAUACCGGAUGUGACCGCUGACCGCAUGGUCUGGUGGUGGAAAGAUUUAUCGGCUGAGGAUGGGCCCGCGGCCUAUCAGCUUGUUGGUGGGGUAGUGGCCUACCAAGGCGACGACGGGUAGCCGGCCUGAGAGGGUGACCGGCCACACUGGGACUGAGACACGGCCCAGACUCCUACGGGAGGCAGCAGUGGGGAAUAUUGCGCAAUGGGCGAAAGCCUGACGCAGCGACGCCGCGUGAGGGAUGACGGCCUUCGGGUUGUAAACCUCUUUCAGUAGGGACGAAGCGCAAGUGACGGUACCUACAGAAGAAGCACCGGCCAACUACGUGCCAGCAGCCGCGGUAAUACGUAGGGUGCAAGCGUUGUCCGGAAUUAUUGGGCGUAAAGAGCUCGUAGGCGGUCUGUCGCGUCGGCUGUGAAAACCCGAGGCUCAACCUCGGGCCUGCAGUCGAUACGGGCAGACUGGAGUACUGCAGGGGAGACUGGAAUUCCUGGUGUAGCGGUGAAAUGCGCAGAUAUCAGGAGGAACACCGGUGGCGAAGGCGGGUCUCUGGGCAGUUACUGACGCUGAGGAGCGAAAGCGUGGGGAGCGAACAGGAUUAGAUACCCUGGUAGUCCACGCCGUAAACGUUGGGCGCUAGGUGUGGGGGCCAUUCC
This 711-nucleotide ribosomal RNA is filed under the name Modestobacter sp. KLBMP 1297. RNAcentral describes it as "bacterial SSU rRNA". It matches the Rfam family "Bacterial small subunit ribosomal RNA", at positions 111 to 835 of the family's 1533-position model. Lineage: Bacteria; Bacillati; Actinomycetota; Actinomycetes; Geodermatophilales; Geodermatophilaceae. The record is from RNAcentral.